GAUUGGCAAGUUUCUGAAUUCUGUCUUUCUGCCUUUCUCUGCUUGAUUGCUUUCUAAAUCUUUCUUUUCUGGGCAGUUACUUCUGUCAUAGCUGCUAGAGACCUAGAGCUCCCUUUUGGUGAUGUGGAGGAUAAUUAUGAGACCCUGGCAGAACCAAGUGCUGAGGCAACUCCUUCUGCCAGAAAAAUAACAAAAGAAAGGAAACUGCUCAAGCUCAGGACAGUGCUG
Molecule: long non-coding RNA, 228 nt
Filed under: Prunus persica (peach)
Lineage: Eukaryota; Viridiplantae; Streptophyta; Magnoliopsida; Rosales; Rosaceae
Description: long non-coding RNA (PPER_LNC008044)
Source: RNAcentral